AUAGGAAAGGCUUUAGACACCAUACUGAGCUUUGGUCGUUCUUUUUUCCAAGGAUUUUGCCCACCUGGCCUUUUUCUUACAUAGCUCAGCCUAAGAUACACAGUGCAUGCCAUUUGAUUUUAAUUCUCAUUUUAUCAGUAUGUCGCAGAAAACACAAGACGCAAGUCCUGUGCAAUACAUGGAGGGACAUUCAUAUAGCACUUGUCAGCAUCUCAUUAAAGCAGCUGUCUCUUUCCUAGAAUUGCAAGCCAGCAAUGCAGGAAAAGACACAACUUUUUAAAAGGGUUAUUGAAAGUGCUAUGUGAAUGUAUGCACCAAAACCUCUCCCCCCUUUAAAUCCAAAGGACUGAACAGCCCAAGCAGGUACUGACAAAAGUCUUUGCCCUCUUUCAAAUUUUCUGAAUAGUUGCUUCUCUUUGUUAUUGAAUGUGAGAGCUUCACGUUAGUACUAUUGACAUAUAGGGGGACUCUGAACAAGUAACACUAAUUUAAUGUUUUAUUUCUCCAUAAACAAAAUCAUCCAACAUGCAAUAUGCUACUGAAAAACUGACGUAUGCAGUAACUAGCACCACUUUUAGCUACAGUGACCACAGCAAAAUGCUUCCUUUAACUGGUUAACUGUUCUCUGGUAUCACUGUACUGGAAUUUGGGGGCAUUCUACGGUGAACUAUUUCAAUAACGGGUUAUUAGUAUAAACUACUUGAUUUAGGUCAUGCCACAUUUCCAAGGGGAUUAAGUUCUGUAGAAUUCUUUGAAUCAGUGUAGAAGGGAUGGAAGUAUUAAGGUCCUGAGAAAACAAAGUAUUCCCAAACUAUGAUACUACCAGCUCUCCGCUGGACAAUUGGUAUGAUAUUUUUAUUGUGCAUUGUGAUGUUCUGUUUCUGUCAGAUGUAAUGAGGACCAUGCAGCCUGAAAAGUUGUGCUGUUGACACAUCUUGCCUAGAAUAUUCCUUCAGAAAUCUGAAGGAUCAAACUACAGUGGCUUUGGGGCAAACUUGAGGCAUGUAUCCAUGUUUUUAUUCGUAAGCAAUGGCUUCUUCCUCACUACUUUCUCAAGAAUCUCAUUUUUAGCCAGUACUUUUCUGGUAGUAGAGUUAUGAACACCGACUUUAAUAAAAGUGAGAGGGGCCUGCAGAUCCUUGGCUAUUGUUUUGGGAUUCUCUGCCACUUCCUGGUCAACCUUAUGCGGUGCUUUUGGAAUGGUUUUGGUUUCGUAAGUCAUUCUCAAGAAGAUUCUGGAUUGUCUUAAUCUUUUCCACAUUAAGACUGAAUUACUCGAGCUCCAGAAAUGGCUAUGUGAGCUUUUCCAGACUAAUACACAUCAGUGACGUAUUUACGCAUGACUUUAGACAUUUCGUUUGAAUGGGUGCAUUCUUAGGAUCUGGGUGGUGAGAAUUUCACUGUAAUGAGGGGAGCUCAUGUUUGUGAAAUUUUCCUAUGGCAAGGCCGGUCCAAAGCAGCUCUGUUUAAGGAGAUACCUCCAUAACUAGCCUUGCUGUUCCUUCAAAUGCUGGCUGGGGAAUUCUGGGAGAUAAAUUCUUAAACUUGCAAAGUUUGAAAAACACUGACAGAGCACAAAACAGCAUGCUUGACUCUGUUUAGAAAUGAAUGAAACAUGGAAAAGGAUUGGUGUUUAUUUGCUCAGUCUCCCUUGAUUUAUCAGUAGGAUCCACAUGAUGCAUUGAUCACGUUUGGUGACAAAGGGGCAAGAAGUCAAGAAAACUGAAGCUGGGAGGAGCAAAUGCUUUUUCGGGAACUGCAGCUCUUCUUGGUCACACCUUAAAUCAAAUGCAGCCAUGCAGGAUAUAAGCCCAUUUGUUCUUACCUUUCUUUCCGGACGAGGAGAUAAAAGCCUAAAAAGCAGAAGGUGAAAAAAAUAAAACUGAAUAAAAAGAACUUCUCAUUGUGUCCCAAGAAAAAUUAUUCUCACACAUCACCUGUCAGACAUGAACUAAGACGGGCAUUUUCACACGCGGUAUUCGGAGAUGCCUUGUGUACAGGACUUCCAGGCAGAGAGUGACUGGCCUGUACUCCUACAAAGGCACUGGGGUCUAU
Ahaetulla prasina is the source of this 2055-nucleotide long non-coding RNA. RefSeq lists it as uncharacterized. The record is from RefSeq and is a predicted model, not a curated record. Lineage: Eukaryota; Metazoa; Chordata; Lepidosauria; Squamata; Colubridae. The transcript is spliced from 3 exons.